Molecule: long non-coding RNA, 468 nt
Filed under: Mytilus galloprovincialis (Mediterranean mussel)
Lineage: Eukaryota; Metazoa; Mollusca; Bivalvia; Mytilida; Mytilidae
Source: RNAcentral
GCCCAGCUUAGAGGGUAUUGGCUCGCUUUGCAAACUGAGACGGAUAACCUCGAGUGAAAAAACUAUUUGAACACUAAAACAUGUGUCCAAAAGAACUGUCAAAUGGACAAACAAAUGAUUCGUUCACCCGACGAGAUGGAUGCCUAGUUACCCAUUUUAUUCAGGGCUGCCAGCGAACUCGAGUAAUAAUUUUGUGACAAGUAAAGAAUGGGUAACAUCCAUUAUCACAUUGCCUAAACGAAAUAUGUUACAUAUGAUGCCCUUGUUAAAAUUCCUUACAUUAUUCCGAGGAAGUGAUUGUGCCAUAUUGGUUAUGUGUAAUGUAACAAAAACCGUCGUUCUAAAACUGAUUAGAAGACUUUUCUGGUUUGUUUUUUCUAAAUAUUUAAUAUAUUUAUAUACCAACUUAAAAACACAGAAAAUAAAAUACAAAUGUAAAAAGAUAUAAAAAAUUGAAAUAUAAUGAAA